ACACAUGCAAGUCAAAGGAAAGCGGCUUCGGCCGGGAGUACUCGGCGCAAGGGUGAGUAAUGUAUAGGUAAUCUGCCCUUUGGACUGGGAUAACCCCGAGAAAUCGGGGACGAUACCARAUGAUGCAGCGGAACCGCAUGGUUAUGUUGUUAAAGAUUUAUCGCCAAAGGAUGAACCUAUAUCCCAUCAGGUAGUUGGUAAGGUAACGGCUUACCAAGCCUACGACGGGUAGCUGGUCUGAGAGGAUGAUCAGCCACAUUGGAACUGAGACACGGUCCAGACUCCUACGGGAGGCAGCAGUGAGGAAUAUUGCGCAAUGGGCGAAAGCCUGACGCAGCAACGCCGCGUGGAUGAUGAAGUUCUUCGGAAUGUAAAGUCCUUUUGUGGAGGAAGAAUAUCCCGGUUUACCGGGACUGACGGUACUCUACGAAUAAGCCACGGCUAACUCUGUG
This 452-nucleotide ribosomal RNA is filed under the name uncultured bacterium. RNAcentral describes it as "bacterial SSU rRNA". It matches the Rfam family "Bacterial small subunit ribosomal RNA", at positions 51 to 507 of the family's 1533-position model. The record is from RNAcentral.